AGACUUUGAUCCUGGCUCAGAUUGAACGCUGGCGGCAUGCCUUACACAUGCAAGUCGAACGGCAGCACGGGGGCAACCCUGGUGGCGAGUGGCGAACGGGUGAGUAAUGCAUCGGAACGUACCCAGUAGUGGGGGAUAGCCCGGCGAAAGCCGGAUUAAUACCGCAUACGACCUGAGGGUGAAAGCGGGGGCUCGCAAGACCUCGCGCUAUUGGAGCGGCCGAUGUCAGAUUAGGUAGUUGGUGGGGUAAAGGCCUACCAAGCCUGCGAUCUGUAGCUGGUCUGAGAGGACGACCAGCCACACUGGGACUGAGACACGGCCCAGACUCCUACGGGAGGCAGCAGUGGGGAAUUUUGGACAAUGGGCGCAAGCCUGAUCCAGCCAUGCCGCGUGCGGGAAGAAGGCCUUCGGGUUGUAAACCGCUUUUGUCAGGGAAGAAAAGUUCCGGGUUAAUACCCUGGGAUGCUGACGGUACCUGAAGAAUAAGCACCGGCUAACUACGUGCCAGCAGCCGCGGUAAUACGUAGGGUGCGAGCGUUAAUCGG
Molecule: ribosomal RNA, 545 nt
Filed under: uncultured bacterium
Lineage: Bacteria
Description: bacterial SSU rRNA
Rfam family: Bacterial small subunit ribosomal RNA
Source: RNAcentral